Long non-coding RNA from Erigeron canadensis, 1454 nucleotides. RefSeq lists it as uncharacterized. Lineage: Eukaryota; Viridiplantae; Streptophyta; Magnoliopsida; Asterales; Asteraceae. The transcript is spliced from 7 exons. The record is from RefSeq and is a predicted model, not a curated record.
AAUGUCAAAAUUACCCCAAUACAACCCUAACAACUCACGUCUCCUGGUCUUUUCCCACUCAAUCACCUCCAUCAGCCCAACAUCAUGCCGCCACCGUCAGUCAUCUCCAUCAGCAUUCAUUUGGGUGGUCGAUUUACAAUAAAUCUCCAUCAGCAAAUUGAUUUCUCAAACUGAUUUUCCAACUCUUUUGGACUGCCACCUCUGAUCCGCUCUUUCCACCUCCGACUGGAUCCACCGCAUCCGCCAUUGUUUCAUUGGAGGUGGAGAACUAUAUACGUGGGGAUCCAACGAAAAUGGUUGUCUUCGUAUAUAGGGUGUGAGAUCGGAAUUGCACCUCUUAUCUUUGUAGUCACAUUAAUCCAGUAUAUAUAACCGCUAAAUUUCUCAUAUCAGAAGUAUUCAUGUCAUUCGUGUGCCAGAAAGAGUUCAAGGUUCAUUCCUGAAGCAUUCUCUUUGCAAGGCACCUGGAUGUCAAGGUGUUUUGACACGAGUUUUGUUGCUUUGGUGUAUUGGACAUCCAAGCUAUGGCUACGGACAAGGUGAAAACGUAAAUAAGAAUGACAGGAAAAAUUUGCUAGAGCUACUAAGAAUCCCCAAAUUAGUCCAGUGACAAUAGCUGGGUCAUCAUGGACAUUUUGAUGAACCAUGACGUUAGUGGCCCGGGUUCAAUUGGAGUCUUCAAAAACCAGUUCGUUGACGAUCCAAAGCCGCGAAUGGUGGUGUUAUUGCAAAUGAAAUGAAUUUACCAAUUACCAUCCAUCUUGGCUCACGAGAUAUCUAUACUGUCAUGAUCUAUAAAGUUGGGCAUAUCUCGGGUGCACAUAUGAACCAUACAGUCACCAUAGCUUUUGCAUUUGUUAGACCCGUGGAAGCGAGUUCUAGUGGAAUGAACAAGGCGACAAUGCAGACAACCAAAAAUUGUGAAAGCAUUUGGUUGGAUCGUAGGUAUGAUUGGAUUUAUUUUUUGCAUGUUUUUUAUUUUGUAUGGUUUUAGAUAUGAUUUCAUUCAUAGUUAAUAGUUUAAGUGCUAAUAAUAGUCAAGUUUGUAGAUUUCGAAGCAGAUGGAUCGAAAAUCCUCAUGUUAGUCAUCGUUGUGGAAUGAAUAAAAUAGUUUAGUAUUAUGUGAAGUUAUUUAAUAGGGGAAUGGUAGUCGCCCAAACAUAAGAGCCCAACAUAAAAAUACAACAGAAACUGAUUUCUCAAACGAAGUAGCAGAGACUGUUAAUUGAAGGGGUGGAGGUUGUUAUUGCUCUAAAUGUUUUUUCUCUUUUUUGUAUCAUCUUACAUUUGACACUUAUCUUGCUGACAAAUUACAACAUAAGAAUUGAGACUACGAUAUACGUCUUUUGACAUGGCCUCUGCUAGCGUGUUGUAUGGCACUAUGGCUAUGCAUACCCAUCAUUUUGUAUAUAGUUGCAGGUGAAUAGUGUUUUGGAUUGUUGCUGGAGUUGUUG